This 550-nucleotide ribosomal RNA is filed under the name Campalita chinense. Its description in RNAcentral is "SSU rRNA". It matches the Rfam family "Eukaryotic small subunit ribosomal RNA", at positions 761 to 1305 of the family's 1831-position model. The record is from RNAcentral. Lineage: Eukaryota; Metazoa; Arthropoda; Insecta; Coleoptera; Carabidae.
ACAAAUUAGAGUGCUCAAAGCAGGCUAAAAUUACGCCUGAAUACUGUGUGCAUGGAAUAAUGGAACAGGACCUCGGUUCUAUUUUGUUGGUUUUCGGAACCCCGAGGUAAUGAUUAAUAGGGACAGAUGGGGGCAUUCGUAUUGCGACGUUAGAGGUGAAAUUCUUGGAUCGUCGCAAGACGGACAGAAGCGAAAGCAUUUGCCAAAAAUGUUUUCAUUAAUCAAGAACGAAAGUCAGAGGUUCGAAGGCGAUCAGAUACCGCCCUAGUUCUGACCAUAAACGAUGCCAGCUAGCGAUCCGCCGACGUUCCUCCGAUGACUCGGCGGGCAGCUUCCGGGAAACCAAAGCUUUUGGGUUCCGGGGGAAGUAUGGUUGCAAAGCUGAAACUUAAAGGAAUUGACGGAAGGGCACCACCAGGAGUGGAGCCUGCGGCUUAAUUUGACUCAACACGGGAAACCUCACCAGGCCCGGACACCGGAAGGAUUGACAGAUUGAGAGCUCUUUCUUGAUUCGGUGGGUGGUGGUGCAUGGCCGUUCUUAGUUGGUGGA